RNAcentral lists this ribosomal RNA (844 nucleotides) under uncultured bacterium. RNAcentral describes it as "bacterial SSU rRNA". It matches the Rfam family "Bacterial small subunit ribosomal RNA", at positions 9 to 851 of the family's 1533-position model. The record is from RNAcentral.
GAGUUUGAUCAUGGCUCAGGAUGAACGCUGGCGGCGUGCCUAACACAUGCAAGUCGAGCGAGAAGUUUAUGGAAUGAGUUUUCGGACAAGUAAAGUAAACGGAAAGCGGCGGACGGGUGAGUAACGCGUAGGCAACCUGCCCCAUACAGAGGGAUAGCCUCGAGAAAUCGGGAUUAAAACCUCAUAAUGCCAUCGAGUCACAUGGCGUGAUGGCCAAAGAUUUAUCGGUAUGGGAUGGGCCUGCGUCUGAUUAGCUAGUUGGUGAGGUAACGGCUCACCAAGGCUGCGAUCAGUAGCAGAACUGAGAGGUUCAUCUGCCACAUUGGAACUGAGACACGGUCCAAACUCCUACGGGAGGCAGCAGUGAGGAAUAUUGCACAAUGGGCGAAAGCCUGAUGCAGCAACACCGCGUGAGCGAUGAAGGCCUUUGGGUCGUAAAGCUCUGUCCUUGGGGAAGAAACAAAUGACGGUACCCUUGGAGGAAGCCCCGGCUAACUACGUGCCAGCAGCCGCGGUAAUACGUAGGGGGCGAGCGUUAUCCGGAAUUAUUGGGCGUAAAGAGUGCGUAGGUGGUCUUGUAAGCGUGGGGUGAAAGGCAGUGGCUUAACCAUUGUUAGCCUUGCGAACUGUGAGACUUGAGUGCAGGAGAGGAAAGUGGAAUUCCUAGUGUAGCGGUGAAAUGCGUAGAUAUUAGGAGGAACACCAGUGGCGAAGGCGACUUUCUGGACUGUAACUGACACUGAGGCACGAAAGCGUGGGGAGCAAACAGGAUUAGAUACCCUGGUAGUCCACGCCGUAAACGAUGAACACUAGGUGUCGGGGUUUAAAGACUUCGGCGCCGCAG